GAUGAACGCUGGCGGCGUGCCUAAUACAUGCAAGUCGAGCGAACGGACGAGAAGCUUGCUUUUCUGAUGUUAGCGGCGGACGGGGGAGUAACACGUGAAUAACCUACCUAUAAGACUGGGAUAACUUCGGGAAACCGGAGCUAAUACCUGAUAAUAUUUUGAACCGCAUGGUUCAAAAGUGAAAGACGGUCUUGCUGUCACUUAUAGAUGGAUCCGCGCUGCAUUAGCUAGUUGGUAAGGUAACGUCUUACCAAGGCAACGAUGCAUAGCCGACCUGAGAGGGUGAUCGGCCACACUGGAACUGAGACACGGUCCAGACUCCUACGGGAGGCAGCAGUAGGGAAUCUUCCGCAAUGGGCGAAAGCCUGACGGAGCAACGCCGCGUGAGUGAUGAAGGUCUUCGGAUCGUAAAACUCUGUUAUUAGGGAAGAACAUAUGUGUAAGUAACUGUGCACAUCUUGACGGUACCUAAUCAGAAAGCCACGGCUAACUACGUG
RNAcentral lists this ribosomal RNA (497 nucleotides) under uncultured bacterium. RNAcentral's name for it is "partial 16S ribosomal RNA". It matches the Rfam family "Bacterial small subunit ribosomal RNA", at positions 28 to 507 of the family's 1533-position model. The record is from RNAcentral.